RNAcentral lists this ribosomal RNA (255 nucleotides) under uncultured Gardnerella sp. Its description in RNAcentral is "partial 16S ribosomal RNA". It matches the Rfam family "Bacterial small subunit ribosomal RNA", at positions 99 to 355 of the family's 1533-position model. The record is from RNAcentral. Lineage: Bacteria; Bacillati; Actinomycetota; Actinomycetes; Bifidobacteriales; Bifidobacteriaceae.
CGAACGGGUGAGUAAUGCGUGACCAACCUGCCCCAUGCUCCAGAAUAGCUCUUGGAAACGGGUGGUAAUGCUGGAUGCUCCAACUUGACGCAUGUCUUGUUGGAAAGUGUUUAGUGGCAUGGGAUGGGGUCGCGUCCUAUCAGCUUGUAGGCGGGGUAAUGGCCCACCUAGGCUUCGACGGGUAGCCGGCCUGAGAGGGCGGACGGCCACAUUGGGACUGAGAUACGGCCCAGACUCCUACGGGAGGCAGCAGCC